GGCUCUGCUGCCGCCGCGGCGGCCGCUGCUGCUGGUGCUGGUGCCGCCGCCGCCGCCUGGAUAUAGUGCGGCAGGGAGCGGAGCUUGCAGUCACUUUGCAAGGAGGAGCGCGCGGGCUGCGGGCGGCUGGGGCACCCCCGGAGCGGCGGCGGCUCUAGCAGAGGCGGCCGUGACAGCGGAAGGUUCUCUCUCCGGGGCUGGACUUAAUAACUUUGGAACUGUCCACCGGUGUCACGUUCUGAACAUGAGCCUCCUCCUCUCCUUCUACCUGCUCGGGUUGCUUGUCAGUAGCGGGCAAGAAACUGUCAACAACAUCCUGUGAAAUUGAGUGGAUAGAUGAAAUGGGGCAAAAGGGAGAAAAUGUGAGUAAUUAUGUAGUGAGCAACUACAGACUGAAUGGAGAAGUAGAACAAUAUAUUUUGAUCUAAAAUGUAGUGGUGAUAAAUAUGGUCAAGUUGUGCAUUAAGAAGCAAUUGUUGUUGCUGUUGUUCAGUUGCUCAGUUAUAUAUGACUCUUUGCAACCCCACGAACUGCAGACUUCCCUGUCCUUCACCAUCUCCUAGAGUGUACUCAAAUAAAUGUCUACUGAGUCAGUGAUGCCAUCCAAACAUCUCAUCCUCUGUCCUCCCCUUCUCCCACCUUCCAUCUCUCCCAGCAUCAGGGUCUUUUCUAAUGAGUUGGCUCUUCGCAUCAGGUGACCAAAGUAUUGGAGCU
This 714-nucleotide long non-coding RNA is filed under the name Capra hircus (goat). RNAcentral describes it as "lncRNA (ENSCHIG00000005640.1)". Lineage: Eukaryota; Metazoa; Chordata; Mammalia; Artiodactyla; Bovidae. The record is from RNAcentral.